Molecule: long non-coding RNA, 2077 nt
Organism: Eptatretus burgeri (inshore hagfish)
Lineage: Eukaryota; Metazoa; Chordata; Myxini; Myxiniformes; Myxinidae
Source: Ensembl
GCACCGCAAACCCCACUAAGACCUGGCCGGUACAACCUUUAACCUCUGUGACAAAUUUGGUCCCAUUCUGUUCAGAGGUGUAGGAGUAUAUAUGCUUCACAUAGACAGACAUAUCGACAUUUAUAGAUAUAGAUUUGGUGUGGAGCUGACAAAUUGACAUAUAAACAAACUUUGUUUCCCUUUUAACACAUUUGCGAUAAAAAUAUAAUAAAACUGUUCCAUAGUUGUCUAAAUAUCCAACAUAGUAGUUGGAGUAUGAUGAUUGUACAUUGAAAAGUGAUUAUUGAAAGGCUUUCAUGUAAUCAGCAGUUAGUGUUGCAUUGUGAGCUUGUGAAGCAGCGACAACUGUAAGUGGAUGAGGUUAAAUGUCCUAAUCGGUGAUCGUCUCUGUUUGCAGGCAAGCCAGGUCAUGGAACAAGGUCAACUUGAUAUUACGACUUUUUUUCCUAAGAAAUCUGGAAUGGUUACUCCUCAACCAGUCCUGAAUGCUGAAAAAACUAUGAACAUAUUGAAGACUGUGACGGAUCUUGAAGAUGGAGGAAGUUCUGAAACCAGUGUGACACAGCCCGUUAAAGACGAUAAUCAAAAUGUGAUCCCUGUCAAAAGUGUAAACAAAACUGAACAGAGUAUGAGGAAAAAUUACAACCGACUAUCACGCAAGAAUAUCGCUCAUUCUUCUCUCAGUUCAAACCAUCGAGGCACUUCUCAAAGAGGUGAUGGGAAAUUGUUCCUUCAAAAUAGGAAACUGGGAGAGCCAGAGUUCAAACGGUCGAUUACAACCACUGAGGCUCCUUUCAUAAAGAAGAUCAGGUCAGAUAUUUCUUUUGUGGAUUUGGAUAGAGCAGUUGAUCAUGUGGAUAUACUUGGGGAUUGUUUGGUAGCUAAGUCAAGCAUGUAUCCAAAAAGUUGUGUAGAGGUGAUUGCUAAAGCAGCUCAUGCUCCCUCAAAAGAAAAUUGCAUCACAAUGAACAGCAUUUUGAAUUGUGGAAGUGCUUCAAAAAAUUUAAGGAAUUCUCAAAAACGUAGUGAGGAGGUAAUGGGUGGACUAGACAAGCAGCCAUCUGGUGGUGCAGAUGUGUCGAUACCAAGACUGGCAAAAACUUGUACACCAUUUGAUCGGAGCCCAAAAGAAGCAGAUGAUGAUGAUGAUGGAAAGUUUGCAAUUAAUAUGAUGCCAUCUGUCAAGGAAAUUGGUGCAAAAGAGCACAAGAGUUUUAUUGUUGAGCCUUUGAGUUCACAUGGUAUGUCCUUUGAAGAAUCUCACAGAUCAGCAAACAAUUCUGAGUCUUUAAAGGGGGAAGUUUUGGAAUGUGCUUCUAUGAAGUACAGCAAUGCUAGGCUGUCACCAAACAAGGACAGCACUGGUAUAUCAUCUUUAAAUACAUUGCAUGACAUGGGGAAGCACACCAAAGCUACAAACCUCGCUCUUGAAGAAAGUUGUGUUGACCUGGAUGCAACUUUGCAUGACAUGGGGAAACCCACCAAAGCUACAGACCUCGCUCUUGAAGAAAGUUGUGUGGACCUGGAUGCUACUUUGCAUGACAUGGGGAAAUCCACCAAAGCUACAGACCUUGCUCUUGAAGAAAGUUGUAUGGACGUGGAUGCUGAAACAGGAGUUGCAUGUCGAUCAAGGAAAGAGGUGCCACUGGACUGCAUUGAUAAUGGGCGGAAUCCCAGCAGCAAAGAUACCCUUAAGAAUUUGACCAUUGCAGAAAAUGCCAUGAACGGUGCUUUUACAGAUGACCUCACAGAAGACAUCUUAGCUGCAUUGGAGGAAAGCUUUGAACUCCCAAAUGAAGAGUGAGCUUUAAAUGUUGUCAGUUUUGUUUGUUUGAUUUGGAUUGUAAAAUGUGUAUCGUUAGAGAGCAGCAAGUGAUUUUAAUGGAUAGGGAUAGAUGACUUUAGUUAAGUGGGAUUUGUUUUAAUUUUUGCUGCCAGUGAAAACUGUUGAAUUUUUUAUUUUUUUCGACUUUAGAUUUUUGUACUGCAGAAGCAUCAUGUCCUCUGCUCAACUUUAAAAAGCUACUUGAAGACUAUUUAUGGUGUGUGUGUGUGUGUGUGUGUGUGGGGGGGGGGG